Molecule: ribosomal RNA, 497 nt
Filed under: uncultured bacterium
Lineage: Bacteria
Description: partial 16S ribosomal RNA
Rfam family: Bacterial small subunit ribosomal RNA
Source: RNAcentral
GAUGAACGCUGGCGGCGUGCCUGAUACAUGCAAGUCGAGCGAACGGACGAGAGGCUUGCUUCUCUGAUGUUAGCGGCGGACGGGUGAGUAACACGUGGAUAACCUACCUAUAAGACUGGGAUAACUUCGGGUAACCGGAGCUAAUACCGGAUAAUAUUUUGAACCGCAUGGUUCAAAAGUGAAAGACGGUCUUGCUGUCACUUAUAGAUGGAUCCGCGCUGCAUUAGCUAGUUGGUAAGGUAACGGCUUACCAAGGCAACGAUGCAUAGCCGACCUGAGAGGGUGAUCGGCCACACUGGAACUGAGACACGGUCCAGACUCCUACGGGAGGCAGCAGUAGGGAAUCUUCCGCAAAGGGCGAAAGCCUGACGGAGCAACGCCGCGUGAGUGAUGAAGGUCUUCGGAUCGUAAAACUCUGUUAUUAGGGAAGAACAUAUGUGUAAGUAACUGUGCACAUCUUGACGGUACCUAAUCAGAAAGCCACGGCUAACUACGUG